CGUCGGAGCCCGAUUUUUCAAUAGUUUGAAACCAGUGUACACAUAAAUGGUUACAAAGUAUUUGAAAAGUCGUGCUCUGAAA
Molecule: microRNA precursor, 82 nt
Organism: Caenorhabditis elegans
Lineage: Eukaryota; Metazoa; Nematoda; Chromadorea; Rhabditida; Rhabditidae
Rfam family: mir-85 microRNA precursor family
Source: Rfam